GAUGAAGAACGUAGCGAAUUGCGAUAUGUAAUGUGAAUUGCAGAAUUCAGUGAGUCAUCGAAUCUUUGAACGCACAUUGCGCCCUGUGGUAUUCCGCAGGGCAUGCCUGUUCGAGCGUCAUUUCAACCCUCAAGCUCUGCUUGGUGUUGGGCCCUGCCCGCUGCGGCCGGCCCUAAAGACAGUGGCGGUGCCGCCUGGCCCUGAGCGUAGUACAUCUCUCGCUCCAGUGCCCGGUGGUAGCCUGCCAGAACCCCAACUCUCGUGGUUGACCUCGGAUCAGGUAGGGAUACCCGCUGAACUUAAGCAUAUCAAUAAGCGGAGGA
This 323-nucleotide unclassified non-coding RNA is filed under the name soil metagenome. Its description in RNAcentral is "partial contains 5.8S ribosomal RNA, internal transcribed spacer 2, and large subunit ribosomal RNA". The stretch from base 1 to 120 matches the Rfam family "5.8S ribosomal RNA", at positions 35 to 154 of the family's 154-position model. The record is from RNAcentral.